UAAGCGGAGGAAAAGAAACUAACAAGGAUUCCCCUAGUAACGGCGAGUGAAGUGGGAAAAGCUCAACUUUGUAAUCUGGCAGCUUCGCUGUCCGAGUUGUAGUCUCGAGAAGUGUUUUCCGCGCUGGCAUGUGUAUGAGUCUGUUGGAAUACAGCGUCAUAGAGGGUGAGAACCCCGUUCAUGACACAUCUCCCAGUGCUUUGUGAUACACUUUCGAUGAGUCGAGUUGUUUGGGAAUGCAGCUCAAAAUGGGUGGUAAAUUCCAUCUAAAGCUAAAUAUUGGCGAGAGACCGAUAGCAAACAAGUACCGUGAGGGAAAGAUGAAAAGCACUUUGGAAAGAGAGUUAAAAGUACGUGAAAUUGUUGAAAGGGAAACGCUUGAAGUCAGACGUGCGCAGCGCGAUUCAGCUCUGUUUCGGCAGAGUGUAUUUCGUGCUAUUGCAGGCCAGCAUCGGUUUUGCGAGCCGGAUAAAGGUUAGGGGAAGGUAGCAUCUUCGGGUGUGUUAUAGCCCUUAACUGAAUACGGAUUGUGAGACCGAGGGACGCAGCACGGCGCAAGCCAGAGGGUCCGCCCUCUUCGUGCUUAGGAUGCUGGUGAAAUGGCUUUAAACGACCCGUCUUGAAACACG
This 629-nucleotide ribosomal RNA is filed under the name Buckleyzyma armeniaca. RNAcentral describes it as "eukaryotic LSU rRNA". It matches the Rfam family "Eukaryotic large subunit ribosomal RNA", at positions 47 to 663 of the family's 3401-position model. Lineage: Eukaryota; Fungi; Basidiomycota; Cystobasidiomycetes; Buckleyzymales; Buckleyzymaceae. The record is from RNAcentral.